Molecule: non-coding RNA, 73 nt
Organism: Potamilus streckersoni
Lineage: Eukaryota; Metazoa; Mollusca; Bivalvia; Unionida; Unionidae
Source: the annotation of a GenBank genome assembly
GCUCCAAUGACUUAGUGGUUAGAGUGUCCGCCUCAGAUGUGGGAAUUCGUGGGAUCGAUCCCCGGCCGAGUCA